AGUGAACGCUGGCGGUAGGCCUAACACAUGCAAGUCGAACGGCAGCACAGUAAGAGCUUGCUCUUACGGGUGGCGAGUGGCGGACGGGUGAGGAAUACAUCGGAAUCUACUUUUUCGUGGGGGAUAACGUAGGGAAACUUACGCUAAUACCGCAUACGACCUACGGGUGAAAGCAGGGGAUCUUCGGACCUUGCGCGAUUGAAUGAGCCGAUGUCGGAUUAGCUAGUUGGCGGGGUAAAGGCCCACCAAGACGACGAUCCGUAGCUGGUCUGAGAGGAUGAUCAGCCACACUGGAACUGAGACACGGUCCAGACUCCUACGGGAGGCAGCAGAGGGGAAUAUUGGACAAUGGGCGCAAGCAUGAUCCAGCAAUACCGCGUGGGUGAAGAAGGACUUCGGGUUGUAAAGCCCUUUUGUUGGGAAAGAAAAGCAGCAGGUUAAUACCCCGCUGUUCUGACGGUACCCAAAGAAUAAGCACCGGCUAACUUCGUG
This 492-nucleotide ribosomal RNA is filed under the name uncultured bacterium. RNAcentral describes it as "partial 16S ribosomal RNA". It matches the Rfam family "Bacterial small subunit ribosomal RNA", at positions 29 to 507 of the family's 1533-position model. The record is from RNAcentral.